GCAAAACAAUAGUUUCACCCGUUGUAAUCUUAGCAGUUGUGUCAGAGCUUGUGACAACUGCUGUAAGGCCGGCGGGACAGUAAUGUUUACAAUAUUAGACUGUCAACGGUAAUUAAGUUUUAUGCCGAUGAUUUAAUUUGGAACACACAUUAAUUAAUUUUUUGAAACGCACUGUUUUGUCAAUA
This is a small nucleolar RNA of Bactrocera oleae (olive fruit fly), 185 nucleotides long. The record is from RefSeq and is a predicted model, not a curated record. NCBI's taxonomy places the organism in Eukaryota, Metazoa, Arthropoda, Insecta, Diptera, Tephritidae.